UGUAAAAGUUGCGAGCACAACUUUCGAUAAGGCCAAGAUGACAAUAAUAAACUCGUCACGUACUACGUUCUCUGGUAGGAAAAAAAAAUCGUUAAAUGAAAUUCUCCGCGACCUGAACGAAGUUACGGGACACGGGACACCGUUGCGACGGCAUUUCGCAACGAAUGGGAGAGUUCGUUUAGAUAACCACCAGCUUGUAAAAUUGCUAAAUUACAGCUUAGUGACAUUUGCCAGCGCGAUACGACGGUAACGAAAUAAAAGUCUCGUAAGGGACACCACUCGAUCGUAAUCACGUCGAUUCGUAUGGAACUGUGCACAUUGGAUAGAGCAAUGAGAAAUAUUAGACGCGUUCAGGGAUGAAAAUGUUCAGAAUGGAGGGCGAACAGAAUUGUGUCUGUUUUGUUUUACAGCUCUCCAUUUCUACUGUCACAAUUGUAGACGAAAUACAAAUGCAUGCUCAAAUAUAUCACAAAAACUAACAGAGGUAGGAGAAAAUAUUGAUGCUGUGGAAUCGAUAGAAUAUUGUAAAGUUAACGCGGAGAAUGUAUCCAAAGCGAGAUUAUUAAAAAUUAAAGGUCACUUAGCACGAAAGUCUUUGGGUAGUUUUUUAAAAAGCAGUCAAGGUUUUAAUAGGGCACUUUAAAGCUGCUGUUAGCAUAAAUUGUUUACGAAGAACACAAAGAACGGUUUUUAUCUUGCCAGGCAAAAUUCAGUAAAUUAUGUUAAAAUCCUUGAACUGAUAACUCUGUUACGAAAUUUUCCCUUUUAAUACAAGCAUUGAUAAUUAAAGAUACAUUAUUUUAGCCAAAAGUAUAUAUAUCUGUUGUUAUGACUAUCAAAUUUCCGCUUAUUCUCAAAUUUUCACUAUAAUUUUACAGCGUCGAUGUAUGAUCUUCAUAUCAACCGUGAAGCAUGAAUGGAGUUAACGUUAGCGGAGUAGUAUCUUUGCAGGUAUAAUUAAAUCACGAGUAAUCGUUUCGAAGUUAACUUUCGGCGGGGAUUUGCGCGGAGAUUAAACUUCGCCGUGCUUUUUUCCCGGAGACUUCGCUGUUUCGUCAAUUUUAAUUCCAUCGAGCCAGCUUGCCACGAACUUUUGGAAGUUCGCGAACUCGUCCCUCUCGGAAGUCGACGAGGGAAAAAUUAUUUCAAUAUUCUAGAAGCCUCGAUAUUCCCUUGCGGCCGUCAUUCCUUGUCGAAACACGAUCCUUUCGACAAAUUUAUUCGGUGGAUGAUUGCACGCUAUCAAGUAAAUCAACAUUUUUACUUUUUCGACAGAUAUCACCUGUUCUCCUCUUUUUUAUACACUAAAUUUGAAUAAAAACAAAAAAUGAGUGUUUUUUA
Long non-coding RNA from Hylaeus anthracinus, 1341 nucleotides. RefSeq lists it as uncharacterized. The transcript has 2 exons. The record is from RefSeq and is a predicted model, not a curated record. NCBI's taxonomy places the organism in Eukaryota, Metazoa, Arthropoda, Insecta, Hymenoptera, Colletidae.